GUUUUAUGUGUGUCGAGAAAUUCUGUAAAGGAACACUAGAAAUAGAGGAAAACACUCAUAAAAUACUAGCACCACAACCACUAUAACAGUCUGUAGUAGUUAUGGUGCUUAAGCCACUCAACCAAGCCCUUGCAAUUACUUUGCUGGUUCUCUACAAUCCCCACCUUGGUUAAUAAAAAAAACACAAUCUGUGCUAAAAUCUAGGAGACAUAUCUAUGUAAAGGGUUUUUGCUGAGGGACUCAACUACGCCUACAAUCAUACUGUG
This is a non-coding RNA of Pelobates cultripes (western spadefoot toad), 266 nucleotides long. The record is from the annotation of a GenBank genome assembly. NCBI's taxonomy places the organism in Eukaryota, Metazoa, Chordata, Amphibia, Anura, Pelobatidae.